UACGUAGGGAGCAAGCGUUGUCCGGAAUCAUUGGGCGUAAAGCGCGCGUAGGUGGCCUCAUAAGUCCGCUGUGAAAGUCAAAGGCUCAACCUUUGAAAGCCGGUGGAUACUGUGAGGCUAGAGUACGGAAGAGGAGUGUGGAAUUCCUGGUGUAGCGGUGAAAUGCGCAGAUAUCAGGAGGAACACCAAUGGCGAAGGCAGCACUCUGGGACGUGACUGACGCUGAGACGCGAAAGCGUGGGGAGCAAACAGG
RNAcentral lists this ribosomal RNA (253 nucleotides) under uncultured bacterium. RNAcentral describes it as "partial 16S ribosomal RNA". It matches the Rfam family "Bacterial small subunit ribosomal RNA", at positions 524 to 776 of the family's 1533-position model. The record is from RNAcentral.